Osmerus eperlanus (European smelt) is the source of this 3343-nucleotide long non-coding RNA. RefSeq lists it as uncharacterized. The transcript has 4 exons. The record is from RefSeq and is a predicted model, not a curated record. Lineage: Eukaryota; Metazoa; Chordata; Actinopteri; Osmeriformes; Osmeridae.
UGGACCCUCCUUUUUAAAGCCCCCUCUCAGGCUCCGCUGUUGAGUUCAUGGCCUCCUAUUAUUUAGCAGAUUUGUUUUUGCAUCCUGGUUGAACUUUCUAGUGUGAGAGGAAAAAACUCCAUCAGGAUCAUAUAUGUGCCUUUGCAGGGACGCGGGGGGCAUAACCUAACAAAUGUGUGGGGUCAAUUGGUUUCCCAAGGGGACGCUACUGAGAAGCUGGCUCACCAAGUCCCGGCCCAGACUGCUGCUGCUUAUUGCGGGGUUGAAGAGGCCUCAGGUGACCCUUAUGCGGAGGAAAAGGAUGAAGCGCACAAAAGUAGCAAAGGCCACGUAAGCGGCUGGAAAACAUAAGUUGUCCACACUGGCUAUCACCAUGAACACAUGAAGAAUAAGAACCUGCAAUCGGAUGCCGCAUUUCACUUGAGGCCUUAGAAAAAAGGAUCUCCCUGCCCGAGUUAGAUAUGGAAGCCCAAGACAUGGAAGAACUACGUUUUCAAUCUCUGCCAAAGCAACGAACUAAAAGCCAAAGCAAACCGAAAAGGGGUUCCACAUUUUUCAUCAAAACGAGGGAUCGACCACAGAGAUCUAGACCCCCGGAUUAAAUCAGGAUUUUUCCUGAUUCACACCCAUUUGUACAUCUUUUUCUUCAAAUAUACAUUUGUUAUGGUUCAUGGCACUACAAUGCGUGUGACUUGUACAUUAUUUUAUAUCAAGAGGCAUGCAUUUAGUUGAGAAAUACUGAAUCUCACUGUGUUUUUAGGUUAGGUUUUUUCUUCCCAAAUCAGAGCAAAUUAUUCAGUUUCCAAGCGGACUUUGUGUUGGAAUGAGUGAAAAUUAGAGUGUCUCUCCACACCUGGUGGGUGCAAGUGUCUAAUUCAUACAGGGCUCAAUACUGAGGUACUGCUGGGCCUACAGGUUACCAUCAGAGACCCACCAUUUCUCCUUAGUCAAUAAUCCACAAGUCACAUUGGCUGGAAUGGAAAAAUAGGUUCAUCCUGAGUUGCUAAAUACCCAGAGACCAUUUUUGCUCGAGUUAUUACUUUAUUUAAUUGAAAACUCAUUCAAAGAUUAGCUUGGUAAAGAUUGGUUGAGUGUCACCUACAGGAUACGGUAAAUAUGUCAAGCAGCCAGCACACACAAUUUGUCAUUUGGUAAGAAUUCACAUCUCGUACUAAUGUAAUAUUAAAGUAUUACAUUUAUUAAGACUGGCACAAAAUAUUGGAAACCAUAUUCUGUUAAUGUAUAAGUUCAAUUAUCUGCAUGCUUAUUUGUUACAUUGAAAAGCAGUUUCACAAGCAAUAAUACAGUUAAGUAUUUUUGUUCUACUAAAACUGUCCUCUACCCAUCCAACUACUAAGAAAUUUAGAUACGUUUUUACCUACUGACAUCUGCUCCAUGACACCUACAUGAACACUGAAAGUUCUUGUUAAUGCAUUCAAUCACUAAUCAAGGUGUGUUUGUCCUAAUUCUGUUCACCUGUCUUACCUGCUACCAUAUGACAGCAAGCACACAUAACAAAACUAGCAUCUUUGACGUUGAUAGCCAUCAUAAUAUUUAGUACAAAUAAUACCAAAUGAGUAACCUUAUAAUAAGGUAACACUUUAUACUAAGUUGUUCUAUUACAUAUGUACAAUAGAUUACCUGUUGUUGCCCAAUUGUCACAAGGGACCAAAUUUGACUAUUUUUUUACUUAAAUGAGUAACUUAUACUUGAAACAUACACAUUUAAAUCUAACAUUUAUUUAAUAACAAUGUAUCAUUCAGGGAAUCUAAUCUUUGUUACUCUAACUACUUGCUGUAACAAAUGAUUUAUUAAAACAAUAAACUGCUAACUUAAUAUAAAGUGAGACCGAAUACACUCCUGGAUUCAUGUGGUAGCUGUUUGUUUGAAUGUGUGUUGUCCACUCUGUGCUUUCCAAGCGUUAUGAAACUCAAGGUUAUACAUUUCUUACUGUCAUUUUUCAUUCCUGUCACAUUUACUUUUGUAUUAUUGAAUUUGAUGUAAAUUACUGGGUGGAGAUGAGAAAACACUGCACAAACCAGUUAACUUUGUAUACAGACUUGCAUUCAACAGUCCCUAAAGUGUUUUAGUGUGAACUGUAAACUAGUGCCUUAGGUGGGUGUAAUGUUGACAAAAUUUUUCACAAAUAAGUCUGUCUAGCACUAAUAUCACAAAAACAAAUGUACUUAGAAAAGGAAAGCAUUACCCUGAAAUAGAAAGAUCAGUAACAUUAAUUAUUGUUUGGCUGACUGCAUUUAUUGACAUGUGGAUUAUACCUCAAAUUACAUGUGAGAUUAGAAAAAAUACUGCCUUACUUACUAGAAUCGUUUUGAUUACGUAUUUUAUGUGUCAUGCAGAGUCAUAUGUUCACAAGUCUACAUUUUAGUGCAAUUGAGCUCCACUUAUUAGUGAUUUAAUAUUUCAAGAGCCUGAAUAAUCACAUAUACACCAAUUAUCUCACAUAAUAACACCAGUUAGGAAUUACACACGAGUACCUCACCGGGAUAAUUUUUUAAGUAAUUUGGUCACUGCUUACUGCUCAGUGCAAAAACACCCAGCAUGAACCCAUUUGAAAUGCUGGUUUCUAAGAUGAAAGUUUUGAAGAAUAAACUCUUAGGCAGAAGGUUUGGAGUACUGUACCGCAGAUGGAGCACAGAUUAACCAACACAUGGGGCAACACUAGUCUUUGGGUGGCUUGGUUAUUUUGCAGUGAGUUUCUGUUGAAUGUGUUUGUAUUUGAGAAGCUCUUGGUCAGAGACUGAUGGUUUGAGGCUUUUCAGAGCAUGAUUAAAGUCAUCUGCAGAGAGGAUAAGAGGUGAAUCAUCUGUGUCCAGACCUGAGAGUUAAAGAGAGAUAGGGAUAGCACAUGGAUAGAGGACGGAAAGAAAGAGGGAUGAUUGAGUGAAAGAGAGGCAGAGGGAGAAUGAGAAAAUUACACAAAAGAAGAAUACAUAUUCCACUAGUUGUUAGUUUGAAGUUGCCAUUCGAUGGUAGCAGAUUAAACCAUUACCAUCCUUAGAAGUGCUUUAAGUAGGAACUUUCAUGACAUGAUUAAGUACAUGAGAACAUUUUUAUUUUACUUAUCUUCCAAGACAUUACACAAAUGGUUGAUUUUUUUGGUGGAAUUAGUCAUUUGUUACAUAAUUGCCAUGCGCUUGCACUGUAAAAUUAAGUUUUGAAAGCUGUAGUAAAGUUUUUAUCAGUGAGUGAAUGCCUCUUGAUUUGUUUCACUGUGUUAAUAUGAAUACAAUUAUCAUAGUCAGAAAAAAUUAUCCUGUGUGUGGACAUGCAUGUUUUACAACAUUUUACUGCAAUUAAAGGUUUUUGAGAUUGAAGAAUUACA